GAUUAACGCUGGCGGUGUGUCUAAUACAUGCAAGUCGAGCGCAACUUCGGUUGAGCGGCGGACGAGCGAGUAACACGUUGGAACCUACCCCGAACUCAGGGAUAACAUCUAGAAAUAGGUGCUAAUACCGGAUAGUCCCGCAAGGGUAAAGAUUUUUCGGUUUGGGAGGGGCCUGCGGCCUAUCAGCUUGUUGGUAAGGUAAUGGCUUACCAAGGCUAUGACGGGUAACUGGUCUGAGAGGAUGAUCAGUCGCGAUGGGACUGAGACACGGCCCAU
This 276-nucleotide ribosomal RNA is filed under the name uncultured bacterium. Its description in RNAcentral is "partial 16S ribosomal RNA". It matches the Rfam family "Bacterial small subunit ribosomal RNA", at positions 28 to 334 of the family's 1533-position model. The record is from RNAcentral.